RNAcentral lists this ribosomal RNA (453 nucleotides) under uncultured Porphyromonadaceae bacterium. RNAcentral describes it as "partial 16S ribosomal RNA". It matches the Rfam family "Bacterial small subunit ribosomal RNA", at positions 341 to 792 of the family's 1533-position model. Lineage: Bacteria; Pseudomonadati; Bacteroidota; Bacteroidia; Bacteroidales; Porphyromonadaceae. The record is from RNAcentral.
ACGGGAGGCAGCAGUGAGGAAUAUUGGUCAAUGGGCGGAAGCCUGAACCAGCCAAGUCGCGUGAAGGAUGAAGGUAUUAUGUAUUGUAAACUUCUUUAGACGUAGAGAAAUAAGCGGGACGCGUCCCGCGAUGCUAGUAUACGUAGAAUAAGGAUCGGCUAACUCCGUGCCAGCAGCCGCGGUAAUACGGAGGAUCCGAGCGUUAUCCGGAUUUAUUGGGUUUAAAGGGUGCGCAGGCGGCCCUGUAAGUCAGCGGUUAAAUCGUGGAGCUCACCUCCAUCCCGCCGUUGAUACUGCAGGGCUUGAUUGCGGUCGAGGUUGGCGGAAUUCGCCGUGUAGCGGUGAAAUGCAUAGAUAUGGCGAAGAACUCCGAUUGCGUAGGCAGCUGACCAGGUCGUAAAUGACGCUCAUGCACGAAAGUGCGGGGAUCGAACAGGAUUAGAUACCCUGGUA